RNAcentral lists this transfer RNA (72 nucleotides) under Camelus bactrianus (Bactrian camel). It matches the Rfam family "tRNA". Rfam says of the family: Transfer RNA (tRNA) molecules are approximately 80 nucleotides in length. Their secondary structure includes four short double-helical elements and three loops (D, anti-codon, and T loops). Further hydrogen bonds mediate the characteristic L-shaped molecular structure. tRNAs have two regions of fundamental functional importance: the anti-codon, which is responsible for specific mRNA codon recognition, and the 3' end, to which the tRNAs corresponding amino acid is attached (by aminoacyl-tRNA synthetases). tRNAs cope with the degeneracy of the genetic code in two manners: having more than one tRNA (with a specific anti-codon) for a particular amino acid; and 'wobble' base-pairing, i.e. permitting non-standard base-pairing at the 3rd anti-codon position. The record is from Rfam by way of RNAcentral. Lineage: Eukaryota; Metazoa; Chordata; Mammalia; Artiodactyla; Camelidae. RNAcentral also lists the same sequence under 1 other name.
GAGGGUACAGCUCAGCGGUAGAGCGCAUGCCCAGCGUGCACAAGGUCCUGGGUUCGAUCCCCUGUACCUCCA